CUCUCUCUCUUAUCCACUUCAGCGGUCAUCCUCAUCCAACGCUGGGAUUUUUCCACUGCCGUGUCGUGGGCUGGCUUCUUCCCCAGCCGCUCCUUCUCAUCUCUCCCUCUACGGUCGAGCUCCCAGCCUGCACUUCGGUUCUCUACUUCUCUGCGUGUGGCUUCACCCCUGGAGCAAAAAUCCCGCCGCCCCUACGCAGAUUUUUCUAGCGUCUAUAUCUCUGUGCGCAGGUCCGAGCCACUGUUCGGCUCGAGAAGAAAAUCCUGCCGCGCUUGAUUUCUCCCUGCGCGUGCGUUCACCCAGUGAUUCCUCCCCUCUCCCAGCUCGUCUUCUUCUCUGCUGGUCGCCGGUGCUCCAGCUCGGCUCCUCACCGGCGGGAUCCUGGUACCGCGAGCUCGCUGGACGCUGCUCCUUGGACGGGCUCCACUGCGUCGCUGCCACUGGGUGUCGCGGUCGGAGCCGACCGAUCCGCACGCUGGGGAGUCGUCCUCCGCCGCUCAUGGUGCUCCUCUGUUCGCCACGGCACGCCGACUUCCCCAGUAGCGCCCUGCCGAGCUCCCUUAGCUGCUCGCUCCCUGGUGCCGCGCGUCUUCUCUGCGGGCGCUCAGCGCUCAGUUGCUUCUCCCUCCUAUGGCGCCCGUCCUCCUGCGCUCGCCGGCCGCAAGCCUUUGUCCAUGGCCGCCAGUGCUCCUUCCUCCAGCCCCGGCGCCCAUGGCUGAGCUCGCCCAGCUCGGAUCCCCCUCGUCGCGCGCUGUCUCUCUCCCUCCGUGUGCUUGCUUUCGCGCGCGCCCCUCUAUUCGCUCGCGCCCAACGUGUUUCCAUGGCCAAGCACGCCAUGGCUUCCUCCGAGCUCGCCCCAACACCGAGCUCGGCUUUGCCCCCUACUCGCCCUGCUGCUCCGCGUCUCCCUGUUCCGCUCAGCGCUCUCCCUGCUCGCUCUGGACGCGCAGCUCCCUUCGUCGCGCCCAGGCUGUAUCGCGCUCCAACUCGCCGAAGUCCCUCCCACGCCCGUCUCCCUCAAGCCGCCAUGAGCUCCAUGCUCUGAAAUUCGUGCGUCGCCUCCUUCCCAUUUGUCGUGCCUUGCGACGUUCGUCAUGGACCUCGUCGUCGACCCACGUUGUGCCCACGAUGUGCUCAUCGACUUCGAUAAUUUGAUUUCCAAUUUCGUGCUGCUUAUAUCGACCCUCGAAACUCCUUGUCGUACUCGACUUCGCAAGUCUCCAUCUCGUCGUCGUUCCGCGCGUCAGCAAGAAAUUCCAAGAAUCGGGUGAAGACAAAGCUAGCAUCGCGAUAUUCCCUAAGCGCUCGACAAAUUGCCUGGAUCGGAAAAUCGCAACCGAUCUCGCGGAUUCGUGUCAGCUGUUGAAACGGUAAGCUGAUGAAUUAUUCAGAAUAAUUCGAUCGUUGAAUAAAUUAAUGUGCUAGUGUCAUGCUCAUUAAUGUGCUCGAUAAAUUGCGUAAGUCCCGAAACUCUCGUCGACUUCGCAGUUCUUGCGAUUAUUGAGCCAAGUUCAGUUAUAGCGAGUUAUUUCGCUAUUUCGGCCAAUUAGCGGAAUUAGCGUACCGAGUAGAAUAUUAAUAGGCUUGUGUAAUGAGGAAAUAUUUUAAUUACUUCUAUAGAUGUGUAUAUAUUUACGAUAAAGAAGUGUUUGAGUAAUUGUUGACAUGAAAAACAUGUGAGGAGUAAAAUAGAAUUAAAAUAAUUCUUUGUGAGCGAUGUAGUGUAAUUUAUACAAAGAGGGAUAAGUUUAGAAUUUAAUUAAUUAAUUGAUAAGUUGUGUUUAGGCUAAUCGUGAUUAAUGUGUAUAAUUUGUUGUUUCGUGAUGUUUGCGAUAGGUCCGAGAAGCGUAAUUAUUGCGCUUAAUUGUACGUCGAUAAUUAGUGUCUCCGUAUGAUAGGAGAUCCUCAGCUGAGUAUAAUCGAUUCGGAUCGCCGUACCUUCGCGGUUAUGAAGACUUGGUCACUGCCCUACAACCUAAGUCAGGAUGUGAACCUCAUGAAUAAAAAUGAUGUUGUAUUGAUGAGAUG
This 2028-nucleotide unclassified non-coding RNA is filed under the name Zea mays. RNAcentral describes it as "misc RNA Zm00001eb380750". Lineage: Eukaryota; Viridiplantae; Streptophyta; Magnoliopsida; Poales; Poaceae. The record is from RNAcentral.